UACGGAAGGUCCAGGCGUUAUCCGGAUUUAUUGGGUUUAAAGGGAGCGCAGGCGGACCUUUAAGUCAGCUGUGAAAUACGGCGGCUCAACCGUCGAACUGCAGUUGAUACUGGAGGUCUUGAGUGCACACAGGGAUACUGGAAUUCAUGGUGUAGCGGUGAAAUGCUCAGAUAUCAUGAAGAACUCCAAUCGCGAAGGCAGGUGUCCGGGGUGCAACUGACGCUGAGGCUCGAAAGUGCGGGUAUCAAACAGG
Molecule: ribosomal RNA, 253 nt
Filed under: Prevotellamassilia timonensis
Lineage: Bacteria; Pseudomonadati; Bacteroidota; Bacteroidia; Bacteroidales; Prevotellaceae
Description: partial 16S ribosomal RNA
Rfam family: Bacterial small subunit ribosomal RNA
Source: RNAcentral